This 461-nucleotide ribosomal RNA is filed under the name uncultured Bacteroidota bacterium. RNAcentral describes it as "bacterial SSU rRNA". It matches the Rfam family "Bacterial small subunit ribosomal RNA", at positions 338 to 797 of the family's 1533-position model. Lineage: Bacteria; Pseudomonadati; Bacteroidota. The record is from RNAcentral.
CCUACGGGAGGCAGCAGUAGGGAAUAUUGGGCAAUGGACGAGAGUCUGACCCAGCCAUGCCGCGUGCAGGAUGAAGGCCUUCUGGGUUGUAAACUGCUUUUAUCUAGGAAGAAAAUACCCUUGCGAGGGGAACUGACGGUACUAGGUGAAUAAGCACCGGCUAACUCCGUGCCAGCAGCCGCGGUAAUACGGAGGGUGCAAGCGUUGUCCGGAUUUAUUGGGUUUAAAGGGUGCGUAGGCGGCCCAUUAAGUCCGUGGUGAAAGCCAACAGCUCAACUGUUGAACUGCCAUGGAUACUGAUGGGCUUGAGUACAGACGAGGUAGGCGGAAUGGAUGCUGUAGCGGUGAAAUGCAUAGAUAGCAUCCAGAACACCGAUUGCGUAGGCAGCUUACUAGGCUGUAACUGACGCUGAGGCACGAAAGCGUGGGGGGCGAACAGGAUUAGAUACCCUGGUAGUCCA